AGUGUGGGGACUCUAAUAAAUAAUUUCAGUACAAGGUACAUUGGUGGACACGUGCAACUGCCAUUCCUUUUCCUUGUAGUACUACGAGAGAGUUAAAGAGCCUAAGCUGAGUUAAAGAGAGCCGUGCCUGCUGCAGGGGAUGCUAACCCGGGGGCUGUCCGUGGGCUGUUUGUGUUGCAGAUCCCUUCUGGCUGCCGGCGGGCAGCCGUGCCCCGUCCCGCCUGCCGUCCCCGGCGCCGUCGGUGGCCGGCUCGGUCACCUCCAGCUCGGGGUCGCUGCGCGUCCGCCGGCCGCUCAUCAGCCCCGCGCGCCUCAACCUGCAGGGCCAGAAGCUGCUGCUGUUCCCUCAGAGCGAGGCCCUGCUCAGCCCGGGCGGCUCCGAGGAGCAAACCCACUCCGACAGCAACGCCUGUGCCCCCGAGCUGCCCGGCUGCCCCAGCAAGAGCCUCGGCGUGCCCGAUAUGAGAUCUGCUGUGGAAGGGGGGAGUAUUUGCAGUGAUAAUUCCAUCAAAAAGGAGGAUCACUCAUCGAACUCAUCUACCUGUGUGGUAGACACAACUACCAAAGGGGAUGAUUUGGCAGGCUGGAGAGGUGAGUACAAAUCUGGUGACUGCUUUGUGCACCUGUGAGCAUUUCUGUGAGGAGAGCUGAGAUCUUUCCUGGAAACCAAGUAAGUAGAUGCUAAAUGGACCUUCAGCCCGCUAUUCUAAGAUCUUAACAAGGCUUUUCCUGUUCUUUGGACUGUCUGAAGAACACUGUCAAAGUGCUAAACUGAGACAGAAGAAGAAGGGUGGGGAUACAGGUGUCAACAGCAUCAGAUAAGACUACAAUAGAGCCAAAAGAGAGCAAUGGAGUCUUUCCUGAAAGAAAAAGUGCUUCAGCAAUUUCUGCUUGUGCUGAAACACUGGCCAGAGAGAAACAGUACAACAUAUGUUCACUUUUACUUAUCAGUUCUUUAACACCUCUUUCUACAAUUCCCUUUUCUCCUCUGUGUUCUGCCAAGGUCGCUUUGGUACCUCUGCUCUCCGGGGCCUGCUGGCCGUGAGCCUGACCCUCAACGCUGUCUUCACAUCAGCCUACGUCUACAGGAGCCUGCGCUGACUUGUGCCAACACUCCCUGUCUCUCUGGUUCCACCUGGUCCUGAGGAGACACCAACAACUCCACCACGGCUUCACGGCCAAGGCCACGCCACCGGUGCAUGCUGUUCAUCAAAAAGCUACUGUACACUCAGCUGGCAUGAGAAGGAACCUGGGCAGCUGCUGCCAUCACUUCCAGGUAGAACAUAUCCCAGGACUGUUCCUGGAGAUGGCAGGCAGAAUUCCCAGCUCCAGCUCAAAGCAGGAGGCCACUCCAAUGGCCCACACACUUUCUUUCAAAAGAACUGAACUGAGACACCUGAAAAUGUGUGAGCUGCAUUUUUAGGAACCUACCCCAUGCUCUUCUUUUUGACAUACUGACCUCGUGCUGAUGGUGCUGGUAAAAUGGGGAGAAUUAGAACAAAUGAGCUGAAGAAGAGGGAUGGCUUAGUAGCUGGUGCUGGGCUUUGGCAACUGUAACAGCACCCCCAGGCUCUGCUCAGUGGUUCCUCUUCUCUCUUCUCUCUGGCAUUCUCCUCUAAAUUGUCAGUGAACUUUCUUUAGUUGCCUUAAGCUUGCCUAAGCACAUGGGUGACCUUGGCUGCUCUGUCAUGUUCUUGCAUCUUAGAUGUCCUUGUGCUUCCAGCUGGACCUGGCCCUGAGGCCACUUUUACCAGUUCCAUCCUGGCCAUGCUGGUUCUCAGCCCGCAGUGUGUGCCUGUGUCCAGCCCUCUCUGUGGCUGCAGGGCUGCACAGCCCCCAGACAGACACCUGUGCUGGCUGCAGCAGAACCUGGAAGCCCAAGCCUUGCUUUGCCCAGGAGGCAUGAACUGUGCUACUCUAAAGUGGGUAAAAAGAAAGGAUCCUGGUGUGCUUUGCACCACAGUCGAAGGGCCUCAGCUCACAGCUCUGCUGGAGUUCUCACUGAAGCAUUGAGUGGCAGAGCCUGUUCUUGCUGUAAAUCGCACAAAUCUGUUCUGUUAGAGGUGGGUGAGGAGCUGUCUGAUUGUAUACAUCUACCCAGAAACCUAACACCUCAGUCUGACAUUGGGAUUUGCUGAGUAACUGUUUAAAAUAUUUCUUACUAGUAAAAUGCACAGGUGCUCUCAGUGGGAAAUGCCAAACCUGCUUCUGGACAGUUCAGCCUUCUGGAUAGAUUCUUCUUUUCUAGCCCGAGGAAAGUAGUAGAUUUCCAAAAGCAGUUUGUAGUUUGGGUAUUUCUGGAUUUUGGGUAAGUCUUCAGCAUUGCUUAGAAUUCAUGGGCCAUUUAGAAUAUUGUGCUGAACACUCAGAGUCAUUUAAUGCAUCUUAGGGAAAAAAAUCUUGAUGUUUUGGUUCUCAAAAACCAAGUGCAGAGAGAAGAUUCACCAAUGUGUUAAAAAUACCUGGUGAGAAGAGAGUUGACUUGCAUUAGCUGUGUAUUUCCUGAAACAGGACUCAAAUGUAUUAAGAGGUUUUCUGUUGUCUCUUCCUUUGUGCUCCUUUACCUCAAAUUUCACCCCCCUGCCCCACUGCCCUGUGUUUGCAACCUGAAUUGGUGAUUUCCAUCCUCAAUUGGUGAUUGGUGUCUUUCCCUCCCUUUCAGUCUGCUGCUGUUCCUCUCUUGUGUUCUUGCAUGUGCACAGAGCAAAGUGUAUCUGCUGCUGAGCAUGGAGCCACAGCUCGCAGUGAUGAUCACUCUCCUUUCACUUUGUUUUCUUUGUUGCACGUUUUAGUUGAGCUCCUACCCAGCCUCACUUAGAGCAUGGGAGCCCUGGCCAGGUUCUGAUCAGCUGCAUGUGACAGCAUAAACGGGGCUUUGCUGCCGAUUCAAGCACUGAAAACCUGAGUGUCUUUGUGUUUUCCAAAUCCCCCUGCAUGCUUUGAGCUGCCCACUUCCAGCUGCUGCUCCCACCCUGCCUGUGGGUGAGCCUGGUCCCUCUGUGGCUCGCAGGGGAGGCCGGGGCUGCUCACGCUCGUGCUGAGCCAGGGGCUGAGGAAAGGUCACUGCUGGCUGCAUCUCCCUCGGCCUCCUCGGGCAGCAGUGAAGGGCUGCACUGCCAGCACCUCCUGGACCAAGGCCCAGAGCCAGGAGAGACCUGCAGCACAAAGAUAUGCUGCAGACUGAUGAAUUCUAUUGUAACUUGCAUGAAUUGUCCCUUGUAGCCAAACCGGACCCAUAACCUCGUUGUGAAGAGAUUUUUGUCCCUUUUAUAGACUUUGCACACUCACCCGAGCAUGUGUACAGGCAGGAUGAUGGCAGAGCAGCUGCCAAGCUUCUCUUUAGGCCUCUGCUCUCUGGGUUUCAUGAUGUUCUGGUGCCAUGUGUGAUCCUUGUCCCACCUGGAGGCCUCCUACACAGAGAGACGAGCUGCCAGAAAAUGCCGUGGCUUUGCUUGUCUCCAUCACCCAGCAGAUGUGCACUGUGACUCCAUGUAUGCAAACCUCCCUCUUUCACCUGCCAGCCUCCGCUGAGUUUCACCACCACACUCAACCAGAUUGCAAUACCAACCUUCUCCUCCUCUCCAGCCAGCCAGGAGCUGCAGCAUCUCCAUCUCUUCCCACCCGCGUUCCAGAACGAGAACACUAACCUGUCACUGCACUUCUGUGGCUGCUCACUCAAACUGUUCUUGGAAGGGGGUUUGGUGACCUUGUCCAAAGCAAUAGAGAGACUUUGGGAAUUGGGAAGCUUUUCAUUUGGUGCUAGAACUCUCCCGUGGUGCUCUCAUUGUUGUGAAGCCUUUCCUUGAGGAACACACGAGCGUGAGUGUGUGUGUGUGUGUGUGUGUGUGUGUGUGUGUGCGUGCAGAUGUACAAAAACAUUUGCAAGGUUUCUUCAUUUCAGAAGAUCUGAGCCCAUGUUUGUCUGUAUAUUGUUGGCCUUAAUCUAGCUCGUAGAUACUGUGUCUAUCUUGCUGCUCUUUUCUGUACAAAGCUGGUUUGGAGGAAGCAGAAGUUUAUCUGGUCCCCCUGUAAAAAUAUCUGUGACUGAUGAUGUUGAUCUUCAUACAGUGUUGUUCAGAGGGGAGAUUUUAUUUUUCUAAUACUUUUCCUACUGUAAAAACUGUUGGAGUGUAUGGAGUGGGAAAGAUCUUUACAAAAUGGCCUGAUAAAGAUCUGAACAUGACUUAAUAAUACCAACAAUUAAUGAUGAGGUCAAGUGAGCUUUAUUUCCAGACCUUUUCCAUUUCCUACUUUCCACUGAAAAUGUCCAGGUACUUUUUCUUUGGCUAUGGGCUUGUUAGGCAUGUUCUGAGACCUUGCAGAUACUUUAGAUGAUUUUGCUGUUCUGAAUUAGAAAGAAUUUGUAUUUUGGAGUCUGGUUCCAGUUCCACAGUCUGGGGAGUUAGGCAGAUGUGACAAAUAUUGUGCACAUAUCUAUUUGAUGGGAUAGAGGGAGUGGGUAGAACAAGUUGCUGGUUUCUGAAGAUUACCAUACCUUUUUACAUAAAACCUUAGACAUUAAAUUGGUCACUGGGGAGAAAAAAAACUCAUUCCUGGCAUAUGUAGGCCAGAUUCACUGAAUUUUAGCCUAUUUGUUCAAGCAACAGAUGAGGCCUGUGAAUGUUUGAUUCCCGCUCCCUCUUCCUGGGUGCUGGGAACAUCUGUAAAAUCUGUAAAUCCCUGCUGAACUGGCUGGGUUCCUUGUAACAGGGCAGCUGGACUGAAGGGCUUCUGUUGCCUGUGGAUGCUGCUAUAUUUUUCUUCCAAGCACCAUUCCUGGAAAUAAUGAUGGUCUUAACUUCUCUCACAGACAUUUGUUAAAAGGCUAGAAUGGGCCUAUUUGGCCCAUACUUUUUUUUUUUUUAAUAAUAUAUGUUGCAUCCAGAAAUUACCAUCACUGUGUUCUGGGCUGGGAGUAAGGUACAGAGUAUUUUUUGACUGAAUGGGUAACUAGAGAGGGUGAGGAGGACAACUUCAAGUCCUAAACCUUAUUUCCUGUGAAAGAAAGACUGUAUGUUAUGUGUGUGUACUUUGGGGAGCUGUAUCACUGUACAGUUUAGUUAAACAUGCUCCAAGGAAGGAGAAGCUGUUCCUCGGAGGUUUUUAGUUCAUGCUUCGUGUUUAAAGAGGAAUAUUUUUCUUUAAAAAAUAAAACCGGAUAAGUUUUCA
Molecule: long non-coding RNA, 5169 nt
Organism: Lonchura striata (white-rumped munia)
Lineage: Eukaryota; Metazoa; Chordata; Aves; Passeriformes; Estrildidae
Source: Ensembl